CCUACGGGUAGCAGCAGUGGGGAAUAUUGGACAAUGGGCGAAAGCCUGAUCCAGCCAUGCCGCGUGUGUGAAGAAGGCCUUCGGGUUGUAAAGCACUUUCAGUGGGGAAGAAAGCCUUGGGGCUAAUACCCUCGAGGAAGGACAUCACCCACAGAAGAAGCACCGGCUAACUCCGUGCCAGCAGCCGCGGUAAUACGGAGGGUGCAAGCGUUAAUCGGAAUUACUGGGCGUAAAGCGCGCGUAGGCGGUCUGAUAAGCCGGUUGUGAAAGCCCCGGGCUCAACCUGGGAACGGCAUCCGGAACUGUCAGGCUAGAGUGCAGGAGAGGAAGGUAGAAUUCCCGGUGUAGCGGUGAAAUGCGUAGAGAUCGGGAGGAAUACCAGUGGCGAAGGCGGCCUUCUGGACUGACACUGACGCUGAGGUGCGAAAGCGUGGGUAGCAAACAGGAUUAGAUACCCGUGUAGUC
RNAcentral lists this ribosomal RNA (465 nucleotides) under Vreelandella stevensii. RNAcentral describes it as "partial 16S ribosomal RNA". It matches the Rfam family "Bacterial small subunit ribosomal RNA", at positions 338 to 795 of the family's 1533-position model. Lineage: Bacteria; Pseudomonadati; Pseudomonadota; Gammaproteobacteria; Oceanospirillales; Halomonadaceae. The record is from RNAcentral.